RNAcentral lists this transfer RNA (72 nucleotides) under Myxococcales bacterium. RNAcentral describes it as "tRNA-Ala". It matches the Rfam family "tRNA". From Rfam's summary of the family: Transfer RNA (tRNA) molecules are approximately 80 nucleotides in length. Their secondary structure includes four short double-helical elements and three loops (D, anti-codon, and T loops). The record is from RNAcentral. RNAcentral also lists the same sequence under 1 other name. Lineage: Bacteria; Pseudomonadati; Myxococcota; Myxococcia; Myxococcales.
GGGGCGAUCGUCCAACAGGAGGACGUCGGCGCCGCAAGCCGAAGAUCCGGGUGCGAAUCCCGGUCGUCUCCA